GACGAACGCUGGCGGCGUGCCUAAUACAUGCAAGUAGAACGCUGAAGAGAGGAGCUUGCUCUUCUUGGAUGAGUUGCGAACGGGUGAGUAACGCGUAGGUAACCUGCCUUGUAGCGGGGGAUAACUAUUGGAAACGAUAGCUAAUACCGCAUAACAAUGGAUGACACAUGUCAUUUAUUUGAAAGGGGUAAUUGCUCCACUACAAGAUGGACCUGCGUUGUAUUAGCUAGUAGGUGAGGUAACGGCUCACCUAGGCGACGAUACAUAGCCGACCUGAGAGGGUGAUCGGCCACACUGGGACUGAGACACGGCCCAGACUCCUACGGGAGGCAGCAGUAGGGAAUCUUCGGCAAUGGGGGCAACCCUGACCGAGCAACGCCGCGUGAGUGAAGAAGGUUUUCGGAUCGUAAAGCUCUGUUGUAAGUCAAGAACGAGUGUGAGAGUGGAAAGUUCACACUGUGACGGUAGCUUACCAGAAAGGGACGGCUAACUACGUGCCAGCAGCCGCGGUAAUACGUAGGUCCCGAGCGUUAUCCGGAUUUAUUGGGCGUAAAGCGAGCGCAGGCGGUUAGAUAAGUCUGAAGUUAAAGGCUGUGGCUUAACCAUAGUACGCUUUGGAAACUGUUUAACUUGAGUGCAGAAGGGGAGAGUGGAAUUCCAUGUGUAGCGGUGAAAUGCGUAGAUAUAUGGAGGAACACCGGUGGCGAAAGCGGCUCUCUGGUCUGUAACUGACGCUGAGGCUCGAAAGCGUGGGGAGCAAACAGG
Molecule: ribosomal RNA, 765 nt
Filed under: uncultured Streptococcus sp.
Lineage: Bacteria; Bacillati; Bacillota; Bacilli; Lactobacillales; Streptococcaceae
Description: bacterial SSU rRNA
Rfam family: Bacterial small subunit ribosomal RNA
Source: RNAcentral